This 253-nucleotide ribosomal RNA is filed under the name uncultured bacterium. RNAcentral's name for it is "partial 16S ribosomal RNA". It matches the Rfam family "Bacterial small subunit ribosomal RNA", at positions 524 to 776 of the family's 1533-position model. The record is from RNAcentral.
UACAGAGGUCUCAAGCGUUGUUCGGAAUCACUGGGCGUAAAGGGUGUGUAGGCUGCGUGUUAAGUCAGAUGUGAAAUCCCGGGGCUCAACCUCGGAACUGCAUCCGAUACUGGCAUGCUAGAGAAUUGGAGAGGAGUCUAGAAUUCACGGUGUAGCAGUGAAAUGCGUAGAUAUCGUGAGGAAUACCAAGUGCGAAGGCAGGACUCUGGACAUUUUCUGACGCUGAGACACGAAAGCGUGGGGAGCAAACAGG